GAAGUAACUGAAUUUAUCUAAGGUCAGAUUGUUGAGUUUAUUGUACGCAUAAUUAAUUCAAAUACUUAUCUCAUUAAUUUUUCAAUUUCAACAUAUUAUUGAUUAAUUAAUUUGAAAUCGGUCACAUUCAACUUGAUAAUUUAUACAUUAGUGGACAAUUUACUAAAGCAAUGAUUUAUAUAUAGUAUACAAAUCUUUGACUAAAGUUAUUAUAAUACGAGCGAAUUUAUUUUAAUUUAUGUUGGAUUGUAUAAUAAAUGUUUGAUUCACAUAGUUUUUUAAUUCCAGUUACAUUAAUAUUUUUGUAUCUUUUUAUCGAGGUAUUAAAAUUGAAAACUAGAUUCCAGGUAUUUCUAUUCAAUUUACAUUUCGUAAUGCAGAUUAAAAUGGUAUUGUUCCAUUAUCAGGUAUGUUAACUAUUAUUUAAUAAUGGGGUUGCCUUGUGAGACAUUAACACCAUCAAAUGCAAUUAAUUAAUUUAUGGUACCAUUUAUUGUUCUUUAGCGUGUUUAGGACAGCAGUAAAUCGUAAAUAUAUUUCAAAGUUGAGCCUCCGUUAAAAGAAAUUAGUUGAUAAAAUUUUUGAUAUGGCAGCUACAGUGAUGUCUUUAUAACCGAUUAUUUUUAGGUCAACCAAAUUGCGUUGCAUAUAUACAGAGACAUAUAAUACAAUAUGUCUCUGAUAUAUAUUAUAAUAUUUAUUUUCAAAUAAUAUUCAUUCAUAUUUUGAAGUAAUGUCUUUAUAACCGAUUGUUUUUUCGGUUAUCCAAAUUGCAUUGCACACAUUUUGAUAUUUAUUUAGUGUAUAAAAUAUAUAUUAUUUUAAUUAUAUUUGUUCAUAAUGACAUUUAUUGGAAGGUUUAUGAUGUCUGAGUAGAAAAGGCGUUGAAAGAGGUGUUAUAAUUGGGGUAAAGAAAACUGCUUUAGCCACCUGUGAUGUCAAAAUAGCUACGCAUCUGAAACAGAAACUGAAAAUUUGUUAUGCAGGAUUAUUUCAUUCAUCAGCAGGACCAUCUAUAUGUAUGUUAGUCAGAGAAGUGGCAGUAUGCCUUAUCUAAAUACAGUAAUAAAACAGGUACAUCUUUUAUUCUUUAAUUUUAAUGUAGCUAAUUCAGUACAUGACAUUUUUAGCUUUAACAAUGAUUUCAGUAGUAGCAUUUCGAGCA
Molecule: long non-coding RNA, 1165 nt
Filed under: Mytilus galloprovincialis (Mediterranean mussel)
Lineage: Eukaryota; Metazoa; Mollusca; Bivalvia; Mytilida; Mytilidae
Source: RNAcentral